GGAGACCGGAACUACUCGUGGAGCCUCUCGUAUGUAUUCUUCCAUGGUUGCAAGAAAAGAUUGUGGAGGCUCCCUCAGAUUUGGGAAUUGGAAAUUUCUAGCAAGUUCUAGUCCCCGGCAAGUUUCAUAAAAAUCUGAAAGACUCCCAGCCUGUUGGCCAGCCCUUUUGUAGAUUUCAAGGGCCUUAAUUGCUUCAUGCCUUGGCAUCUCAAAGAACUUGUCAACAAGGUUGAUGAUGCCGUCAUUAAUAGCACAAUAGAUUUUAAAGCUUUCUUUUAAUACCAGUGCCAAUGCAUAUUGUACGACAUAAUUACUACUCGCAGCUCCUUCUGGGCGGCAUCCAAUAAGGCGGUAUAACAACUGCUGUAAAGCAGGUAACUGUUCCAACAAGGCUUCAGCAUCCAAUUCUCUGGUUCUACUAUGGCCCUUUUCAGACCCUUGAACAGGUUUCCCCAAACGCUCAGCUUCGACAUCAUACUUCAAAA
This 485-nucleotide unclassified non-coding RNA is filed under the name Hevea brasiliensis (rubber tree). The record is from RNAcentral. Lineage: Eukaryota; Viridiplantae; Streptophyta; Magnoliopsida; Malpighiales; Euphorbiaceae.